Molecule: long non-coding RNA, 199 nt
Filed under: Phoenix dactylifera (date palm)
Lineage: Eukaryota; Viridiplantae; Streptophyta; Magnoliopsida; Arecales; Arecaceae
Description: long non-coding RNA (PDAC_LNC003155)
Source: RNAcentral
GGGGUAGGACGGGUGUGGUGGUAAAUGUUCUAGGUUUUGCAGUUUGACAAUAAAAUAAGUUUCAAGAUAGGACUAUCAUGCAAGAGAACUAGAACAUAAUUAGAUAAACAAGCCCAAAAGAAAGAAGAACCUGUUACCUGUGGCGAAUGCAGUCAACUGGAAGCGUCCGUUGUAGAGUCUUGAACACAAAGUUGGCGCU